Molecule: ribosomal RNA, 404 nt
Filed under: uncultured prokaryote
Also listed under: 1 other name
Description: bacterial SSU rRNA
Rfam family: Bacterial small subunit ribosomal RNA
Source: RNAcentral
UGGGGAAUAUUGGACAAUGGGGGCAACCCUGAUCCAGCCAUGCCGCGUGAGUGAUGAAGGCCUUAGGGUUGUAAAGCUCUUUCGCCCGCGAGGAUAAUGACGGUAGCGGGAUAAGAAGCCCCGGCUAACUUCGUGCCAGCAGCCGCGGUAAUACGAAGGGGGCUAGCGUUGUUCGGAAUCACUGGGCGUAAAGCGCACGUAGGCGGAUCUUUAAGUCAGAGGUGAAAGCCUGGAGCUCAACUCCAGAACUGCCUUUGAUACUGGGGAUCUGGAGUCCGGGAGAGGUGAGUGGAAUUGCUAGUGUAGAGGUGAAAUUCGUAGAUAUUAGCAAGAACACCAGUGGCGAAGGCGGCUCACUGGCCCGGUACUGACGCUGAGGUGCGAAAGCGUGGGGAGCAAACAGG